UACGUAGGGUGCAAGCGUUGUCCGGAAUUAUUGGGCGUAAAGAGCUCGUGGGCGGUCUGUCGCGUCGGCUGUGAAAACUCGGGGCUCAACCCCGAGCCUGCAGUCGAUACGGGCAGACUAGAGUGCUGUAGGGGAGACUGGAAUUCCUGGUGUAGCGGUGAAAUGCGCAGAUAUCGGGAGGAACACCGGUGGCGAAGGCGGUUCUCUGGGCCUGUACUGACGCUGAGGAGCGAAAGCGUGGGGAGCGAACAGG
This 253-nucleotide ribosomal RNA is filed under the name uncultured bacterium. RNAcentral describes it as "partial 16S ribosomal RNA". It matches the Rfam family "Bacterial small subunit ribosomal RNA", at positions 524 to 776 of the family's 1533-position model. The record is from RNAcentral.